CCACCCAUCUCCAUGGCUGGGUUUCAAAAUUGACCUUCCUAUUUUUUUUCUCGAGAGAAGCAAGUCAACUUUAUAGCUCGAAAUUUAUACAGAAUUUUCGGCUGAAAGAGAAGUAAAAUCAAGGAAUUACGAUGACGAGCUUAAAGAAAAAAUUAAGUAUGACAGGAAGUUUGCAACAUCGCAAACGGAAAGUUUUGCACUUCGGCCAUUGGCCCUCCAUAAUAGUCCCGAACUCUUGACGAGGCCACUUAUCAAACAAAAUUUUCCUUCAAACUGAGCUGAUACAACUUGUUGUACUUUUGCAUAGCAGCGCACUCUAUACGACAAAACACUGAACCGAAGUCGCCGGCAGCGCACGCUCAUCCAAUGCUCAAUCUCUCAUCUUUCACGCCACCCGGUUAUUCGUUAUCGUUAUCGGUCAACGUCUCAGGGUAGAUUUGUUUUGGUGCGGUCGUGCAGUCAAUUUCCGACUUGUUAUUUUCGCUUUCAGAAAAGCAGCAGAAGUUUACUCAAACUGUCAAAUUUUGAGGUUUCAGUCUAAGUUGUUGCUUUAUUCAGUUCCUCCUGUCAUCAAUUCACGCGUCUACGAUGGGUGGAUUCGACGAAGUGGAGUCAUACCCUGUUUUACCCUCCAAAACGUUGAAGGAGUGUGCAAAUUUGAGGCAUGCGAUGUCGGAAUGGUGAUGGAUCUACCUGAAGGCCCUUUGAGUGAAGAAAGGAAAAAGGCUACUUUGACUGGAAAUUAAUGCGCUUGAAUGUGGAAGAACCCUCUUACCUAAGAGUAAAAGUUAGUUCAAUGCAUUACACUCUACUUCUCAUCUAGAUCAUUCAAAUGAAUUUAAUACUUUUUAAAUAUUUUCUUAUUUGUCGGGACUGCUAUGCUACUGUUCAUAUUUUGACGGUUCUUCUUAUGGUCAAUUAAGUUGGCACUCUCCUGUUUUUAUUAUACUGCGUUUAUUCACACUGGAUUUUCAAAAACUUAGCAGUUAAGUCAUUCUCUCCAAAAGCUUCUUCAGGUUUGAAAUAUUGAGCUAUUGUAUUGAAUAUUGUUGCUUUUCACUGAAGUAGUCCAUUUUUAAAAAGGAUUCUUAAUUCUUUUUCUUUCUUUAUUUUCUAAAUGUGAAUAGUACUUUUGUGUUUUGACGUGGGAUUGACACCCUCUCCCAAUUCAAAGGGGGUGUCAGGCCAGUCUUGUCCAAUUCAAAAUGGGAGUUGAGGGGUUGUCCGUCAGGGGAGUAGUCUAAUCGACAAAAAUACU
This 1258-nucleotide long non-coding RNA is filed under the name Bemisia tabaci. RNAcentral describes it as "lncRNA ENSSSA3NGG008092". The record is from RNAcentral. Lineage: Eukaryota; Metazoa; Arthropoda; Insecta; Hemiptera; Aleyrodidae.